AGAAAGGUGUCAGUCAGACUCUGGAAGUUCUCCUGUCAAUGGAUAUUAUUUCUUGUAUAUCUUACCCAUGAAUUAGAAUAAAUCUGAAUUUUCUUAUCAUUUCUCUUUACAGUACUUCAACUUCCCCAGAACCAUCCAGCUUCUCAUGUUUUGUGUUUGUUUAUUAUUUCCUUUGGUACUGGGGCCUUGCCUGCUACUAGAACCUUGUAUGUACUACACAAGUGCUCCAACUCACCAGGCCGUGAACUUGAUGUGUUGUCCAGGCUGGCCUAGAGCUUACAGUCUUCCUGCGUGGGCCUCCUCAGUGCCAGGGUUGCAGUCAUGAGCUUCCCGUGUGCUUAACAUCAGCUUAUAUUUUUCCUUCCCUCCUUUCCUUCCUAAUUGGUGUGGUGUGGGGUGUGUGUGUGUGUGUGUGUGUGUGUGUGUGUGUGUGUGUGUGUGUCCGUCCGUGUGUGACUAAUGGUGGAAGCAACCCUUUCUUUUAUUAUUCAAACCUUCUGCCACUGAACCAUAUCUCCUUUAGUACUAACUUCAAACACCUUUUCUGCUUUUAUUUUCAGUUUCUAGAUUUUGUUUUUUUCUGAGUCUUACUUUCUCACUGAAACUUUUGUUUCCUCAUGAUAAGGUACCCUGUUGUCACCUCCCCUUCUCUUCCUCCCCCUCCAGAGCACAGCUCACUGGCCGCUUCAAGCCUUGUGCUGGCUUACUUUGUUUGUAGGGGCUAUUAUAAAAGCUAAUUCUUCAAAAUUAAAAUUUUAAAUUAGGAAGUGUUGUAUUCCAGCCCAACAAAAUACAUGUCUAUAACCCCAGCCUCUAGGAGGCAAGGCUAACUGGGGCCCAAGGAUUGCCAGGAAUUGACAGCCAGCCCGAGCUACAUAACAAGACCCUGUCUCUAAAGAUGGAAAGAAAACACUUUUGAUAUUUUAAUCUGAUACAUUGUUUGGAGGAGUAUUUAUAUGAACAUGUAUCUGUGGUUAGUAGUUAUUUUAUUGUCUGUGAUACAGAAUGUCUAAGCCCCAUGUUUACUUAAUGAGCCAGCUCUUACUUUCUUAUCUCGGCAAACAACCCUGUCGUUAAGUGAUUUUUCUGACAGUCAAGCUCAAGAUUCUCUGUCUGAAUAGUUGGAAAAUAUUCUUCUAAGCGUGUGAAAUUGCUGUCUUGGGGGGAAAUAACCACAUGUUAGCAACUUAUGAUAACACUUAAGUUACAUAAGCUCUUCACCAAGUCUGUGUUUGAUUUUCAAGCUUUUAUAAGCUGACAUACUGUCACAGUGUCAAAGGAACAGUCAAUAAAUACCAUUUAGAGGUGAUAAUCCCCCAGGGUGAUAUGCACUCCAUUUCUGCUAACUACAGAGAUUUAUCCUCCAAAAAAAAAAAAAAACCAUGUUAUACAGUCAACACAUUUUCUAUAAGUUUUCAUCUAAGAUUUUCUUUAUACUUACAGUUUUGGUUAUGGGAACAAAGGUAUAGAAAUAUAAACACACAGAUAAGAAUAUGAAACUCCUAACCAGGAAAUUCCCGGUUUUAUGGUCCAAAUAGGUAUAAAACUAGGUUGUUUCAAACUCAGACUAAUUUGUCCCAUAUUGCUGUGAGUAACUAAGAUUGUUCCUAGAAAUUACUCAGCACCCAUUAUACUCUUGGCGUUGUUCUGGGUCUUAGUUUUUGAUGGAUUCUUGUGUUAGACAAAGGUACUUCGAUUUCAGUAGAGACUUGGUACACUUCUUCCUCAGUGAUGCCCUAAGUGAGCCCUAAUUUAUCUGAUAUGUUCCCCAAAUGCUCACCCUGAAACCUUUCUAAUUUUCUACUCAUCCCAGCCGCUUCAAGCAAUAGGAAGAAGCAAAUUCAGAAAAUUCAUAUUAAAUUAUCAUUGACUAUAGUCUUAUUAUCUUGCUGAAAGAGAACCAAUCAUAUAAACAUUGACAGCUCCGCUCAGUGACAGGAAAUUUACAGGUGAAUACUGUCCACGCUUGCUCAAAAAACACUUUCCCUGUUUUCUGUUGACAAUUUUCCAAGGAAUUUGGAGGUAGGAAAACUACUCCUUUUUCAUUAUUCUGAAACUUAUUUUUAAAUAACUGGUAUUUGGCAAUUUAGUUUUUAAAACACCAUUCUGAAUUAAAUUGCUGAGGUGACUAAAUUCUAAAACUAACCUCGUUUUAUCAUACAGACAUCUAGUUAGAAAGUGUUUGUGGUGAAGACUUGUAUCUUGUGGCAUUAGUUCUUCAUGUUUCUUCUCCAUACGUCGGCUAAAGCAGUUCAUUUCCAGCUGAGUGGAAAGUUGCUGUUGUUGGUCUGUGUGGGCAAGCACACCCAGUUACAGCACGAGCAGUAACUUCACGGUAGCUGGCUGUGCUUUGCACUCUGCUGUUGUAGAUUUAUUCUGUUUACAGUAGACUGAUGUCAGUUUUGUAAAUGUUUUUCUUAGCACUUUAACUGUGAGUGUAAAAACUGAUUUUAAAUGUAGUGGUUGUAUAUUUUGGUUAUAAAUUGGAAAUUUUUAAUAAAACUAAAUAACUUGUUC
Molecule: long non-coding RNA, 2517 nt
Organism: Rattus rattus (black rat)
Lineage: Eukaryota; Metazoa; Chordata; Mammalia; Rodentia; Muridae
Exons: 2
Source: RefSeq, a predicted model, not a curated record